GAUGAACGCUGGCGGCGUGCCUAAUACAUGCAAGUCGAACGAAACUUCUUUAUCACCGAGUGCUUGCACUCACCGAUAAAGAGUUGAGUGGCGAACGGGUGAGUAACACGUGGGCAACCUGCCCAAAAGAGGGGGAUAACACUUGGAAACAGGUGCUAAUACCGCAUAACCAUAGUUACCGCAUGGUAACUAUGUAAAAGGUGGCUAUGCUACCGCUUUUGGAUGGGCCCGCGGCGCAUUAGCUAGUUGGUGGGGUAAAGGCUUACCAAGGCAAUGAUGCGUAGCCGAACUGAGAGGUUGAUCGGCCACAUUGGGACUGAGACACGGCCCAAACUCCUACGGGAGGCAGCAGUAGGGAAUCUUCCACAAUGGGCGAAAGCCUGAUGGAGCAACACCGCGUGGGUGAAGAAGGUCUUCGGAUCGUAAAACCCUGUUGUUAGAGAAGAAAGUGCGUGAGAGUAACUGUUCACGUUUCGACGGUAUCUAACCAGAAAACCACGGCUAACUACGUUCCAGCAACCGCGGUAAUACGUAAGUGGCAAGCGUUAUCCGGAUUUAUUGGGCAUAAAGGGAACGCAGGCGGUCUUUUAAGUCUGAUGUCAAAGCCUUCGGCUUAACCGGAGUAGUGCAUUGGAAACUGGGAGACUUGAGUGCAGAAGAGGAGAGUGGAACUCCAUGUGUAGCGGUGAAAUGCGUAGAUAUAUGGAAGAACACCAGUGGCGAAAGCGGCUCUCUGGUCUGUAACUGACGCUGAGGUUCGAAAGCGUGGGUAGCAAACAGGAUUAGAUACCCUGGUAGUCCACGCCGUAAACGAUGAAUGCUAAGUGUUGGAGGGUUUCCGCCCUUCAGUGCUGCACCUAACGCAAUAGGCAUUCCGCCGGGGGAGUACGACCGCAAGGUUGAAACUCAAAGGAAUUGACGGGGGCCCGACCAAGCGUUGAACCAUGUGGUUUAUUUCGAAGCACCGCGAAGAACCUUACUAGGCCUGGACUUCUUUUGACAGUCCUAGAGAUAGGACUUUCCUUCCGGACACAUAAUGACAGGUGGUGCAUGCUUGUCGUCAGCUCGUGUCGUGAGAUGUUGGAUUAAGUCCCGCACGAAGCGCCACCCUUAUUGUUAGUUGCCAGCAUCAAGGUCGGCACUCUAGCAAGACUGCCAGUGAUAAACCUGAGGAUGGUGGGGAUGACGUCAAGUCAUCAUGCCCCUGAUGACCUUGGCUACACACGUGCUACAAUGGACGGUACAACGAGUCGCGAGACCGCGAGGAUUAGCAAAUCUCUUAAAGCCGUUCUCAGUUCGGAAUGUAGUCUGCAACUCGACUACAUGAAGUCGGAAUCGCUAGUAAUCGCGGAUCAGCAUGCCGCCGUUAAUACGUUCCCGGGCCGUGUACACAACGCCCGUCACACCAUGAGAUUUUGAAACACCCAAAGCCGGUGGGGUAACCUUUUGGAGCCAGCCGUCUAAGGUGGGACAGAUGAUUGGGGUGAAG
RNAcentral lists this ribosomal RNA (1489 nucleotides) under Ligilactobacillus murinus. RNAcentral's name for it is "bacterial SSU rRNA". It matches the Rfam family "Bacterial small subunit ribosomal RNA". Lineage: Bacteria; Bacillati; Bacillota; Bacilli; Lactobacillales; Lactobacillaceae. The record is from RNAcentral.